Caretta caretta (loggerhead turtle) is the source of this 392-nucleotide non-coding RNA. Lineage: Eukaryota; Metazoa; Chordata; Testudines; Cheloniidae. The record is from RefSeq and is a predicted model, not a curated record.
UCACAUGAUGUGCUGUUACAUAAAGCAUCAAGAGAGAUUAACAACUUGAGAAGUGAAAUCCUAAUCAUCAUAAACAGCCACAGGCGGUAUAUCUUCUUUCAGCAGUGCACACUUCUCCAAUUCUGAAACAGAAUCAGGAGUGAGACCCAUGCAUGGAACUAGGAUUGUAUUGGCCUCAAGGUGAUCGCCUGGCAAGGGUUAAAGAUUGUCAGAGCAUUCUGCUUCUAAGCCUUGGAAGAAAAAGAUCCAAGCCUGGAGGCGGAGGACCCAUUGGCUGGGGUGAAGGGUCAGCCCAUUGUUUUGAGAGAGAGGGUGAGGAAUGGGCUGACGUCAGAGGAACAGGAGGGCGUAUUGCCAUCUGCAUCAGGUAAGAGAGCCAGACUUUUCAUAGU